Molecule: long non-coding RNA, 612 nt
Filed under: Homo sapiens (human)
Lineage: Eukaryota; Metazoa; Chordata; Mammalia; Primates; Hominidae
Description: non-protein coding lnc-KIZ-6:2
Source: RNAcentral
AGAAGCAGAGAACAGAGGAGCAGAGCUGUUGGAACAGCCUACAGGCGAGCAAAUGGGGAGAAAUGAAAAGACACCAGGCAGGCCCCAGCAAAAGAAAAGAAAUGUCUCCCAGGAGAGAGGCCAGAACCGUCUGGAGCUCGGGGAAGUUGUCCGCCACAGCCCCAGCCUGGCCGCCGCAGCAGGAAUCUCUAUGCAUGUGCCGAAGGUGGCACCAGGGGGUGCACACGGGGGAGGAGCCCUUCAUCUGCAGCACAUGCAGCAAGGCCUUCAGUCAGCACUCCAGCCUCACUGUGCACCAGGUGUGCACACAGCGUGAAGCCAUCCAUGUGCCCUGAGUGCAGCAAGACCUCAGCCACAGACAGCUCUUGCCUCCUGAUGCACCAGAGGAGCCACACAGGCAAGAGGCCCUGUGAGUGCUCUGAAUGCGGCAAGGCUUUCACCCGCAGCUCUGACCUCCUGGUGCCCCAGGGGACGCACGGUGGGGAGAAACCCCAUCGCUGCACCCAGUGCUCAGUGUGGGAAGGCCUUUGGCCAGAGCUCCCACCUCAUCUUUCACCAGACCACUCAUGCCUGGAGGAAACACCAGCUGGUUUUCCUGAGCAGAUCCUAGUG